UUUCAUGUACUACAUUCUUUUAACUUUUUGAGGUAUCAAUUUGUGUAUCUUGCAAAUGUAUCCAAAGUUCAGAGUUUGACAUCUGUUAACAAAAUUCAUAUGGUAAACAAGAGAUUUAUUAGUAGGCUGAUUGGCUUUGAGUUCAAUUUCUAGUUUGGUUUAGGCGUUUAGCCCGGUUUAGAAAUUGUGGUGACGCACAAGCUCGGUUUGAUUAAACUUGAUCCGUUAUUAAUUAAUAAACCAAUAAACCAAGCUUGGUUUAGAUUUAGAAGUAUACUAACAUCUUCAUUUGUUGCCAAGGACGAUGAUGUUUUGUCGGAGGCUUUUCCUUUUUUUUUCAUGUCUGUUAGUCGGAGACUACGUAAACGACAGAGCUGCGAUGAUUUUGGGUGUAAGAAAGAAUUGGGGUCUCGCCGUCUCGGGGAAUUUUUUUGUUGAAUUCGUUCGUUGUUAACAUUGCAGGUGCACACCAAGCGUUCGAUAAAAUAGCCAAGUGAGCAGUUUCAUGUUUCUACGGGCACCUACUACUUGUGCGACUUAUUAGUAUGAAGACUUACAUGCUCCCAUACUUUGAAACUUGUUGUAAAGGUAUUGCUCUUGCGGCAGCUCUCGGCAAAGCUAGAGCCUGCAAUGGAGUCCUCAUGUUACAAAGCAAUCCAGGAUUCUCGCUCAUGUCAAUCCUCUCUCCAGGAACAGGGGAACUCCAUGAGAAGCAAUGCAACAAAUUUCCCAUCACCAAUGUCAUCAAGUUCAUGCUGAGCUGUGCCGCUGGACACAUCCGUCUUCCUGAUCCAAAUGGAAGAACCCUAAAGUCUCGACCUUUAACAUCGGUUUCUUCCUGAAGGAACCGCUCUGGUCUGAACUCAUAUGGGUUUAUCCAGUUUGCAGGGUCCCGCCCAAUCGCCUGCACAUUGACAUAAACUGUGGCUCCCUUAGGAACCUUGUACCCACCUACCCAAACAGUUUCACUUGCUUUGUGUGGAAGCAUUAAUGGUGUUGACGGGUGAAGCCGGAGAGCUUCUUUAACCACACAUUGCAGAUAUGGCAGUAUGGGGAUAUCUGAUUCAGUCAUUAACCUUUCGGAUCCAACCACAGAAUCAAGCUCCUGUUGCGCCUUUUCUUGCACGGUCGGGCAUUUGAUCAUCUCUGCCAUAGCCCAUUCGAUAACAACUGCAGUUGUGUCAGCACCCGCGGUUAACAUGUUCCAGACUAGUCCCCCAACCGUCUCUUCGCUCAGCUCUUUCUGCUCUUUUAACACCAACAAUUUCCGAACAAAUCCCCUGUGAUCCUCUAUUUCUAUAUCUUCUUCCACCAUAAUAGCUCCUCUAAACCACUUUGUUCUCCGAUCCUUGUGCGCUAAGAAUUCCUUAUCACUAAAGAACCAAGAAGAAACCCAUUUGAGCCACCAGACGUGAUCAAGAAUCGUCCCUGAGCCACUGAGAAGAUGUUCUUUCUCAACGAUGGCUUUAAACUCUUUUCCUUCCUCAGACCCGAACUCUUUCCCUAUCAUUAACCUUGAGAUGGUAUUCAAAACAACCGCAGCUAGGUACUUCCUCACAAUCACCGGUUUUCGCUCCUGAUCAUCCCCUGAAUUGCUCAUUAAGUCCUUCAGAAUCGACACAACCAUCGAUCUUGCUUCCAUCUCUCUCAAGGACCUGAAAUUUUCGAUGCUUUUCAGAGAGAAGAGCUCGAGUGUACAGAGUUUCCUCAGUUUCACAUAAUGUGGACUGUAAUCGGACCAAACAAGAUCAGUACCGGUCUGAGUCAUCCUUGCGAUCCUGUGUCGGUUAGACAACUGAUGGUCUUUGUCUCUCAACACUUGUCUGGCUAGAUCAGAGCUCGAGACCACGACAGUGAGCUGUGACCCUAUCCACACCGAUAUGAUAGGACCAUAAGUCUCUGACCACUCCGAGAAAGAAUGCGUCCAAAGUGGUUUCAUUUGAUGAAGGUUUCCAAGCAGAAACUUUGGUUUUGGUCCCGGCGGUAUGUUGGAUCUCCACCAUCGUUGAUAAAGCAUGAGGGUGGCGACGAUGAUAGGGAGUAAUGAAAUUAGAUAUAUAAUCAUUUUUGCUUCGACGAUGUGAAACAACAGUUAUUGAUGUAAGUUUGAUGUACAUUGUAACAUCUACCUUACACUGAAGUUUUUAUACGCAAACUGUAAAACAUAGAAGAAAGUUUUUGAUAUUUACUUACGUAAGUGUAGAGAAACACAACUUUGGUAUGCGCAUGAAAAUACCAUGGUUUGGCCCCUUAAUACUCUCACACUUUUUGCAUUUUCUGUUUACUUACCAAAACUAUUUCUUGUGCUU
Molecule: long non-coding RNA, 2309 nt
Filed under: Arabidopsis thaliana (thale cress)
Lineage: Eukaryota; Viridiplantae; Streptophyta; Magnoliopsida; Brassicales; Brassicaceae
Description: potential natural antisense gene, locus overlaps with AT1G74540 (AT1G74545)
Source: RNAcentral